ACGAACGCUGGCGGCGUGCUUAACACAUGCAAGUCGAACGAUGAUGCCAGCUUGCUGGUGGAUUCGUGGCGAACGGGUGAGUAACACGUGAGCAACCUGCCCCUGACUUCGGGAUAACCGCGGGAAACCGUGGCUAAUACCGGAUAUGACGCGCUAUCGCAUGGUGGUGUGUGGAAAGAUUUAUCGGUUGGGGAUGGGCUCGCGGCCUAUCAGCUUGUUGGUGGGGUGAUGGCCUACCAAGGCGACGACGGGUAGCCGGCCUGAGAGGGUGACCGGCCACACUGGGACUGAGACACGGCCCAGACUCCUACGGGAGGCAGCAGUGGGGAAUAUUGCACAAUGGGCGCAAGCCUGAUGCAGCGACGCCGCGUGAGGGAUGACGGCCUUCGGGUUGUAAACCUCUUUCAGUAGGGAAGAAGGCCUUCGGGUUGACGGUACCUGCAGAAGAAGCGCCGGCUAACUACGUG
This 467-nucleotide ribosomal RNA is filed under the name uncultured bacterium. RNAcentral's name for it is "partial 16S ribosomal RNA". It matches the Rfam family "Bacterial small subunit ribosomal RNA", at positions 29 to 507 of the family's 1533-position model. The record is from RNAcentral.